Molecule: ribosomal RNA, 253 nt
Filed under: uncultured bacterium
Lineage: Bacteria
Description: partial 16S ribosomal RNA
Rfam family: Bacterial small subunit ribosomal RNA
Source: RNAcentral
UACGAAGGGUGCAAGCGUUACUCGGAAUUACUGGGCGUAAAGCGUGCGUAGGUGGUUCGUUAAGUCUGUCGUGAAAGCCCCGGGCUCAACCUGGGAAUGGCGAUGGAUACUGGCGGGCUAGAGUGCGGUAGAGGAGAGUGGAAUUCCCGGUGUAGCAGUGAAAUGCGUAGAGAUCGGGAGGAACAUCAGUUGCGAAGGCGGCUCUCUGGACCAGCACUGACACUGAGGCGCGACAGCGUGGGGAGCAAACAGG